Mangifera indica (mango) is the source of this 904-nucleotide long non-coding RNA. RefSeq lists it as uncharacterized. NCBI's taxonomy places the organism in Eukaryota, Viridiplantae, Streptophyta, Magnoliopsida, Sapindales, Anacardiaceae. The transcript has 3 exons. The record is from RefSeq and is a predicted model, not a curated record.
CCUUAUGGCCAACUCUAUUCGACCCCCGAGCAACUCUCUCACGAUCAGAGACAAAGAUGACGAGCAGUACGACCUAGAAGAGGGGAAGUGUGGCGGUCUCACGAUCUCAAUUCGAUACAAACAGCUCUAGCAACUGAAUUCUGCAAUUCUUUGACCUCCAAAUGAUUUAGAAGGGCAUAUCAAGCAUCAAUAAACCGGAUAUCAAAUGUAUGGGGAUGUAUCUGCCACACGUUUAGAGCUGCAUAUUCCUCCAGGCAUUCUUUCAACUGUGCUUCACUGUAUCCCUGUGAAUAACCAAACAUCUCAAGCAUUCAGAAUUAAUCUAGGACACAACAAACAUUACAACUGUGAAGGGAAAGUCCUCCAAAAACUAUUUGGAAAAAGAAGAAUGCAUAUGGCUUAAAUAUUAAAAGAAACAUCUGUCUAGACGCGAUUGGAAGACAGUAGUAAACACUGCAUCACUUGAUUUCAGACUAUUUGAGUUGUUUUUUUUUUUUAAUCAAAUCAUAUGUCAAAUAUGCUGAAUAUCAUCAUGUCUAGGCGAUAACAAUCUCUUUGCUACAGCCAUAUAUUCUGACAUCCGUGCCACAAUAGAUUGCAGAAAAUGCACAUGCUGAAGGCCCUGUCAUGCAGAUGAAGCUAUUUCCUAAUCAGGGAAUAAUUUUUCUCUUAUAAACUGAACACCAUCAUGUCUUGGGCCAACGGUUUCAGACUGAGCUCAUCAUCCCUCGGUAAAUGAAGCACUUCUGACAACCUAGAAUGGCAAUGAUAAUCCUCUCUUUCUGUUAAAUGCAAGGCCAAAUUGGGACACCAGGCUAAACAAGAGAAACUCCAUAUACAGCAUUGAUCCUCGAAUUUUAGACACUACUAGAUAAACAAUCAAUAAAUGCUACUCUCAAUUUGA